Molecule: ribosomal RNA, 260 nt
Filed under: uncultured bacterium
Lineage: Bacteria
Description: partial 16S ribosomal RNA
Rfam family: Bacterial small subunit ribosomal RNA
Source: RNAcentral
CGAACGGGUGAGUAAUACAUCGGAACGUGUCCGCUCGUCGGGGGGACAAACCAGCCGAAAGGUUGGCUAAUACCGCAUGAGGUUCUACGGAAGAAAGAGGGGGAACCCCGCAAGGGCCUCUCGCGAGCGGAGCGGCCGAUGACUGAUUAGCCGGUUGGUGAGGUAACGGCUCACCAAAGCAACGAUCAGUAGCUGGUCUGAGAGGACGACCAGCCACACUGGGACUGAGACACGGCCCAGACUCCUACGGGAGGCAGCAG